This 746-nucleotide ribosomal RNA is filed under the name uncultured Bacillota bacterium. RNAcentral's name for it is "bacterial SSU rRNA". It matches the Rfam family "Bacterial small subunit ribosomal RNA", at positions 8 to 736 of the family's 1533-position model. The record is from RNAcentral. Lineage: Bacteria; Bacillati; Bacillota.
AGGGUUUGAUCAUGGCUCAGGACGAACGCUGGCGGCGUGCCUAAUACAUGCAAGUAGAACGCUGAAGAGAGGAGCUUGCUCUUCUUGGAUGAGUUGCGAACGGGUGAGUAACGCGUAGGUAACCUGCCUGGUAGCGGGGGAUAACUAUUGGAAACGAUAGCUAAUACCGCAUGAUAUUGAAUAUCGCAUGAUAAUUAAUUGAAAGGUGCAAUUGCAUCACUACCAGAUGGACCUGCGUUGUAUUAGCUAGUUGGUGAGGUAACGGCUCACCAAGGCGACGAUACAUAGCCGACCUGAGAGGGUGAUCGGCCACACUGGGACUGAGACACGGCCCAGACUCCUACGGGAGGCAGCAGUAGGGAAUCUUCGGCAAUGGGGGGAACCCUGACCGAGCAACGCCGCGUGAGUGAAGAAGGUUUUCGGAUCGUAAAGCUCUGUUGUAAGAGAAGAACGGGUGUGAGAGUGGAAAGUUCACACUGUGACGGUAUCUUACCAGAAAGGGACGGCUAACUACGUGCCAGCAGCCGCGGUAAUACGUAGGUCCCGAGCGUUGUCCGGAUUUAUUGGGCGUAAAGCGAGCGCAGGCGGUUAGAUAAGUCUGAAGUUAAAGGCUGUGGCUUAACCAUAGUAUGCUUUGGAAACUGUUUAACUUGAGUGCAGAANGGGNAGAGUGGAAUUCCAUGUGUAGCGGUGAAAUGCGUAGAUAUAUGGAGGAACACCGGUGGCGAAAGCGGCUCUCUGGUCUG